RNAcentral lists this unclassified non-coding RNA (348 nucleotides) under soil metagenome. RNAcentral's name for it is "partial contains 5.8S ribosomal RNA, internal transcribed spacer 2, and large subunit ribosomal RNA". The stretch from base 1 to 120 matches the Rfam family "5.8S ribosomal RNA", at positions 35 to 154 of the family's 154-position model. The record is from RNAcentral.
GAUGAAGAACGUAGCGAAAUGCGAUAAGUAAUGUGAAUUGCAGAAUUCAGUGAAUCAUCGAAUCUUUGAACGCACAUUGCGCCCGCCAGUAUUCUGGCGGGCAUGCCUGUCUGAGCGUCAUUUCAACCCUCAUGCCCCUAGGGCGUGGUGUUGGGGAUCGGCCAAAGCCCGCGAGGGACGGCCGGGCCCUAAAUCUAGUGGCGGACCCGUCGUGGCCUCCUCUGCGAAGUAGUGAUAUUCCGCAUCGGAGAGCGAUGAGCCCCUGCCGUUAAACCCCCAACUUUCCAAGGUUGACCUCAGAUCAGGUAGGAAUACCCGCUGAACUUAAGCAUAUCAAUAAGCGGAGGA